AACGAACGCUGGCGGCAAGCUUAACACAUGCAAGUCGAACGGACCGUAUACGCAGCUUGCUGCGUGUAUGGUUAGUGGCAGACGGGUGAGUAAUGCAUAGGAAUCUACCUAGUAGUAUGGGAUAGCCACUAGAAAUGGUGGGUAAUACUGUAUAAUCCCUGCGGGGGAAAGAUUUAUCGCUAUUAGAUGAGCCUAUGUCAGAUUAGCUAGUUGGUGGGGUAAUGGCCUACCAAGGCGGUGAUCUGUAGCUGGUCUGAGAGGAUGAUCAGCCACACUGGAACUGAGACACGGUCCAGACUCCUACGGGAGGCAGCAGUGGGGAAUAUUGGACAAAUGGGCGCAAGCCUGAUCCAGCUAUGCCGGCGUGAGUGAGGAAGGCCUUAGGGUUGUAAAACUCUUUCAGUAGGGAAGAUAAUGACGGUACCUAC
This 428-nucleotide ribosomal RNA is filed under the name Anaplasma marginale. RNAcentral's name for it is "bacterial SSU rRNA". It matches the Rfam family "Bacterial small subunit ribosomal RNA", at positions 29 to 482 of the family's 1533-position model. Lineage: Bacteria; Pseudomonadati; Pseudomonadota; Alphaproteobacteria; Rickettsiales; Anaplasmataceae. The record is from RNAcentral.